GAUGAACGCUGGCGGCGUGCCUAACACAUGCAAGUCGAACGAAGCACCUUACCUGAUUCUUCGGAUGAAAGUUUGGUGACUGAGUGGCGGACGGGUGAGUAACGCGUGGGUAACCUGCCCUGUACAGGGGGAUAACAGCUGGAAACGGCUGCUAAUACCGCAUAAGCGCACGAGGAGACAUCUCCUUGUGUGAAAAACUCCGGUGGUACAGGAUGGGCCCGCGUCUGAUUAGCUGGUUGGCAGGGUAACGGCCUACCAAGGCAACGAUCAGUAGCCGGUCUGAGAGGAUGAACGGCCACAUUGGAACUGAGACACGGUCCAAACUCCUACGGGAGGCAGCAGUGGGGAAUAUUGCACAAUGGGGGAAACCCUGAUGCAGCAACGCCGCGUGAGUGAAGAAGUAUUUCGGUAUGUAAAGCUCUAUCAGCAGGGAAGAUAAGGACGGUACCUGACUAAGAAACUCCGGCUAAAUACGU
Molecule: ribosomal RNA, 476 nt
Filed under: uncultured bacterium
Lineage: Bacteria
Description: partial 16S ribosomal RNA
Rfam family: Bacterial small subunit ribosomal RNA
Source: RNAcentral